UUCUGGCUCAGGAUGAACGCUAGCGACAGGCUUAACACAUGCAAGUCGAGGGGCAGCAUAAAAGUAGCAAUACUUUGGUGGCGACCGGCGCACGGGUGAGUAACGCGUAUGCAACCUACCUAUCAGAGGGGAAUAACCCGGCGAAAGUCGGACUAAUACCGCAUAAAACAGGGGCACCGCAUGGUGAUAUUUGUUAAAGAAAUUCGCUGAUAGAUGGGCAUGCGUUCCAUUAGGUAGUUGGUGAGGUAACGGCUCACCAAGCCGACGAUGGAUAGGGGAACUGAGAGGUUGGUCCCCCACACUGGUACUGAGACACGGACCAGACUCCUACGGGAGGCAGCAGUGAGGAAUAUUGGUCAAUGGGCGGGAGCCUGAACCAGCCAAGUCGCCGUGAAGGAAGAAGGAUCUAUGGUUCGUAAACUUCUUUUGCAGGGGAAUAAAGUGCAGGACGUGUCCUGUUUUGUAUGUACCCUGAGAAUAAGGAUCGGCUAACUCCGUGCCAGCCGCGGC
Molecule: ribosomal RNA, 510 nt
Filed under: uncultured bacterium
Lineage: Bacteria
Description: bacterial SSU rRNA
Rfam family: Bacterial small subunit ribosomal RNA
Source: RNAcentral